GCCGGGCGUGGUGUCUCACGCCUGUGAUCCCAGCACUUUGGGAGGCCGAGGCAGGGGAAUCACCUGAGGUCAGGAGUUCAAGACCAGCCUGGCCAACAUGGUGAAACCCCGUCUCUA
Molecule: non-coding RNA, 117 nt
Filed under: Pan troglodytes (chimpanzee)
Lineage: Eukaryota; Metazoa; Chordata; Mammalia; Primates; Hominidae
Source: Rfam by way of RNAcentral